Molecule: long non-coding RNA, 1789 nt
Filed under: Olea europaea subsp. europaea
Lineage: Eukaryota; Viridiplantae; Streptophyta; Magnoliopsida; Lamiales; Oleaceae
Source: RNAcentral
CUCGGCUUGACCAUAUGAGGUGGAAAGUCUAUUUAAAAAAAGAAAAAGAAAAAUGGGCACUUAUUUCAACUGGGUUUUGAAAUUCAAAAUUUAAAAUUGUUUGAUACCCAGCUCAAAAUGCUUACGUGGUUCACCCCAAAUUAAUAACCCUUUUCAAAUCACAAACGGGUAGUCACUGCCCUAAUUUGAUUUCCUCAACUUUGCAGCGCCGAGUGUCAUGCGGUUCCAGCUCCUCGAUAGAGACACCGUCGAAGACCAUGGAAUCCACGUUGCCGACAUGCUUGCUCUUCCAUUUCUAAGACAUUCGGCCGCUUGUCAUUGACUCGUAGUUGCUACCGCCCAUCUUCUCGGACCAAAUCUAGAGAAAACUUAGGUAUAUAUGUAUAUAUAUUAAGUGAGAAUCAACUACAUGAAGUGCCAAAGAUCUGUUGGGUUGGUUCACAGUUGUAAGAUGGGAAAACUUCGCCUUGUUGGAUAUUAUUUAUGAAAGUGGGUUCGAGCUUUCACGUGCUUGCUACUUGUGUGUGAGUACACAACGACAAGCUUUACCUUAUAGUGUGUGUACAUAUUCGGUCGUUAUUUAUUUUGAUAGCACUCUUUCGUUGAUUUUUUUUUUUUUUUUGUGAAUUUGGUCUCAAGAUUUAAGCUGGUUUUAACACAAGUUUCAUUGUAGUGAAUGGUUCUUCCAAGUAUAAUUCUUGCAUAGUUGCUAAGACUCGGAAGGUCGAAGAUUCUACUACAAACUGGGAAUUUUCUAUUGUAUUUAUGAUUAGUUCAUGUUUAGGAAUUGUAGGAGAUUUUGGAAAAAAAUGAAAUUUUCAAAAUAUGGAGGCCAAAAAUAGGUGGAAAAUCAAUUACGAAAAGAAUUACUGCUAUUGGUUUUGUUUCUUGUUAUGACAAAAAAUUGAAAUCUGGUUAUUAUUGUUUUAUUGACCAACUUCAGUUGAGCUAAUUUUGUACAUGUGUUUAGAUGAAUACGGAUUUGUUUCAUGCUUGCUUUACUUUUGCAGAUGAAUAAGUAGCAUUAUUGGUAAACAAUAAUGCUACUUAACCAUGUGAAAUCUGUUCAUGGUUUUUUCAUUUGUUUAUAUAUAUGUGGUGCUUAUGAUUUUGUUUGGUGUUCGAUUCACAGCUUAAAAUGAAAGGAAAGAAUUAUGGAGUUUGUCAUAGCUGUAGACUAAAGGGUCAUUUUUUCAUGGAAUGCCCGAACAAAUGACCCUGCCAUGGUGUAAACAUGUCUUUUUGAAGUGCUUCAAGGUGGAGAAGAACACCGACAACAAAGGUAAACUAUUCAAUACGUGCAGCAUGAAAUGUGGUUAUUGAGAGUGGGUGAAAGAGGAGGAAACGGGUUUUGAAUCAAGCUCAGUCACCAGGACACCAGAUUUGUCUUGCAUUUUCGAAACACGAUGCCAGUUAACUGAUGAACAAGACAUGGAGAUUGCUAUGAAUGUGACUAUACACAAAGGAAGAGAGCACGUCACUAAAUGGGAUAAGAAUGGAAAUUCAUCUGCCUGAGCUAAAGCAUUGUCAUUCGACUGGGAUUGUAAUUUGAAUUAUUUAAAUAUAAGGAUUUGUAAACUUGAUCUCAGGUAUUAUGGAUGCUAGGAUGUUAGAAUUAUGUGUGUAUGUGUAUGUUUAAUUAGAUGGAAUUUUUGGUAAAGCCUUUGAAUUUACUGGGAAUGGUUUGAUGAUUUAGUUGAUGGGUUUUUGGGAUACCCGUUAGUGAUACAAGAUUUCCCUUUCCAUCUAGAAAAAUUUAUAUAUUUACCAUCUUUGGCUAUUCAAUUUG